CACCUCGAUGUCGGCUCAUCGCAGUCCUGGGGCUGUAGUCGGUCCCAAGGGUUGGGCUGUUCGCCCAUUAAAGCGGUACGCGAGCUGGGUUCAGAACGUCGUGAGACAGUUCGGUCCCUAUCCGUCGCGGGCGCAGGAAAUUUGAGAGGAGCUGUCCUUAGUACGAGAGGACCGGGAUGGACGUUCCGCUGGUGUACCAGUUGUGCCGCCAGGCGCAUCGCUGGGUAGCUAUGAACGGCAGGGAUAAACGCUGAAAGCAUCUAAGUGUGAAGCCCCCCUCGAGAUGAGAUUUCCCAUUCCUAUAUGGAAGUAAGACCCCUGAGAGAUGAUCAGGUAGAUAGGCUGGAAGUGGAAGUGCAGCGAUGCAUGGAGCGGACCAGUACUAAUCGGUCGAGGACUUAACCAA
RNAcentral lists this ribosomal RNA (406 nucleotides) under Lacticaseibacillus casei UW4. RNAcentral's name for it is "bacterial LSU rRNA". It matches the Rfam family "Bacterial large subunit ribosomal RNA", at positions 2522 to 2925 of the family's 2925-position model. The record is from RNAcentral. Lineage: Bacteria; Bacillati; Bacillota; Bacilli; Lactobacillales; Lactobacillaceae.